Amphimedon queenslandica is the source of this 506-nucleotide long non-coding RNA. RefSeq lists it as uncharacterized. The transcript is spliced from 3 exons. The record is from RefSeq and is a predicted model, not a curated record. NCBI's taxonomy places the organism in Eukaryota, Metazoa, Porifera, Demospongiae, Haplosclerida, Niphatidae.
CCGUUCACGUAGUAAAUGUGACCACGCCCACCACGUACACCACACCCAAAUCAAUUAAUAAACGGGUAAAGAAGAAAGAAGCACUUGACAGCAUUUUAACUUACUUUUCUUGCUUUUUGGACAUCUUAAGAGUGAUCUAAAGCCCAGCCAUGCAUUGAGACAUCAAAUACAAUGCCAAUAAAGUCCUUUUUGUGAACUGUAAUAACAUCAUCUGUGUCAUUUACAUCCAGACAUCGCUUCUGCUUGAGUUUACAGGUCACAGGUGACACUUGGUGUUCUUUGAUUGGCUGUGAAUGACGCAAUAACUUCUAUUUCGGUAUUCUCCUCCCACACAUUUUUAUCAUCAGUCCUCUCACCUGUACAGAUAAACACAAAUCACCUGCAUGAUAACUUCGUGACUAACUUUCUCUCGGGCCUUCUCUUUUGAGUUAGUAAGUUUUAAACAAAAAUGAGUGUUUGUGUUUAUGUUGACGUCUCACGCACAUACUAGUUCCACACCUUUGUUU